CAAUAGCGUAUAUUAAAGUUGUUGCAGUUAAAAAGCUCGUAGUUGGAUUUCUGGUCGGAAGCUCCUGUCCUCUGAUGAGCGUACAAGUGCGUCCUACCAUCCUUCUGUUAACCUUUAAGGCUUUCGCGGCUUUUUAGGGGCUCAGAUAUUUUACCUUGAGAAAAUUAGAGUGUUUCAGGCAGGCUAGCGCCGGAAUACAUUAGCAUGGAAUAAUGGAAUAGGACUUUUGCCUCUUCUGUUGGUCAUGAGGCUCGAGUAAUGAUUAAUAGGGAUAGUUGGGGGCAUUAGUACUUAACUGUCAGAGGUGAAAUUCUCGGAUUUGUUAAAGACUAACUUAUGCGAAAGCAUUUGCCAAGGAUGUUUNCAUUA
This 369-nucleotide ribosomal RNA is filed under the name uncultured eukaryote. RNAcentral describes it as "partial 18S ribosomal RNA". It matches the Rfam family "Eukaryotic small subunit ribosomal RNA", at positions 592 to 975 of the family's 1831-position model. The record is from RNAcentral.